GUUUUGUCCAGACAAGACAAAACCACGGCCUCCCCCCAUGCUUUAGAGAAGCCCGCUCAGUGUAGACAAUAGCCCCCCAGUGUAGACAAUAGCCCCCCGGGCGUCUGAAAGGGGCUGAUUGGAUUAUGUGGCCAUCGGAGGUGGAAGGGUGACUUGGGAGGUGACAAAUGCAGUGGGCGGGGACCGGCUUUGCGUUCAGCCCGGCUGUGGCUGUGAGCAGGGACCCCUUUGUCUGGCGCAGUCUGGCGGCAGCUUUGGCUGGGCUUGGAGGAGGUCCCAGGCUGGGAGUCUGGCAGCCCGUGAGGCCGGGGGUGACCCCGCGCGUCCCCCUCCGCAGUCUGGGGAGCCCUUUUGGCCACCAAACGUUCAUUUGAUCCUCACGACUCCCUGUCCUGACCCCAGGGCUGGCCUGCCACCUCCCAUGGACUCAGAGGCUCUCAAGCGGCCCCUCAGCUCGGGCCCCCGUACCCUCGCCCCAAGAGGGGCGCGCGCGUGUCCCACGCGCACCUCCCAGCUCCCGACUGCGCUCCCUGCGGUCCGGGAGCCUCCCAGGCUCCCCCUUGUCCUGUUUAGCUCCUCCAGGCUCUGUCUUUCCUUCUCAGCUGCGCCUCUCCAAGGCCUGUCCACCCUCGCUGUCCUCCUUCCUCACCUCCAACCUCCUCUCCAGCUCACUGCUCCCGACUCGCUCUGUCCUGUGGCGCGCCUCUCACCAAGCUCCCGUCCACCUCUCUCUCCCUCUCUGGUCCUCUGAAAUACAAAAUGUGGCCCUUGGGGUGCCCUAGGCCCGCCCCCCCUCCUCUGGGUGUCCCAGCCCUAGCCUGACAAAAAGUGGGGCUCCGUAAGAGUAUGUGGGACGUCAGCUUGGCCAGGUGAGUGAGUGCACGGGCGUGACUACCAUCCCCAGCAGCCAGGCGGGCCCCGGGGACAGCUGCAGGCCAGGAGGGUGGCGGGCGGACUGGGCACCGGGGAGUGGGCAGCUUCCCCCCGCAGCCCUACUGAGGGCUCCCAGGUCGCGCCCUGCACUGACCCGCGCGUCCAUUCGGUCAUCCAACAGUUGAUCCUCACCGAGCAAGCCCACAGUCGUGGCCCCGGGCUUGGCACCCGCCACCUAGCUCGUCCCUUGAUGGCCUCUGCUUCCCGGGAGGGGCAGGCCGGGAGGUUGUCCCAGUGCCGGAGCCUGGGCUCCGGCUCUGGAGAGCUGGCAAGAGGGUGCAGGCGGGCCUGGGUGGCCUUGGCCUCAAACCUGCCC
This 1249-nucleotide long non-coding RNA is filed under the name Oryctolagus cuniculus (rabbit). RNAcentral's name for it is "lncRNA (ENSOCUG00000033578.1)". The record is from RNAcentral. Lineage: Eukaryota; Metazoa; Chordata; Mammalia; Lagomorpha; Leporidae.